This 543-nucleotide long non-coding RNA is filed under the name Homo sapiens (human). Its description in RNAcentral is "non-protein coding LINC02407:24". The record is from RNAcentral. Lineage: Eukaryota; Metazoa; Chordata; Mammalia; Primates; Hominidae.
AGUUCUCAACUUGCUCCUUGGCUGUUCUCCUGACACUUAAGUCAGAGCAUUCUGUAGCUGUAUUUUACAGAACUGUAAUUGCACAGAUUGUUCCUCUUACAAGAGAAAUAUCCAGAGCUCUAAGAAAACAACUGAUGAAAACGACAUGCGUGACAUUUGGUGCUGAAGACCCAGGUCAGAGAGACUCCUUUGGGGGACCAGUCCGCUGUCCUUGCCCUCACUCUGUGAGGAGACCCACCUACGACCUCGGGUCCUCAGACCAACCAGCUCAAGGAACAUCUCACCAAUUUCAAAUCGGGACCCCACUGGAAAAUGGACUGUCCAACUCACCCGGCAGCCACUCCCAGAGCCCCUGGAACUCUGGCCCAAGGCUCUCUGACUGACUCCUUCCCAGAUCUUCUCGGCUCAGCAGCUGAAGACUGACACUGCUUGAUUGCCUGGGAAGCCUAUAGGACCAUCACAGACACUUUGGAUAACUCUUACAGUGAAGGUGUCUGGAGUUUCCCCUAUGGACGCUCUCUCCUGCCACCAUGUAAGUCUUGC